UUUUUUAAUCAUAUUCAGUAAAAAUUGUUUUGUAGGUACACCACCUGAAACUCACCAGUCACCUCAUCUUAGCCUGAAGGAUAUCACCAAUGUCUCCUUGUAUCCUGUUGUGAAAAUCAGAAGACUUUCUCUUUCUCCAAAAAAGAAUAAAGCAAGCCCAGCAGUGGCUCUGCCUAAACGUAGGUGCACAGCCAGCGUGAACUAUAAGGAGCCCACCCUCGUUUCGAAACUGAGAAGAGGGGACCCUUUUACAGAUUUGUGUUUUUUGAAUUCUCCAAUUUUCAAGCAGAAAAAGGAUUUGAGACGUUCUAAAAAAAGUAUGAAACAAAUGCAAUGAAGGUUUUGUUGGAUAUUGUUUAAAUUCAAUCUACACCUCUUUCUGUUGCUUCAGGAGAGGAUCUGUAAGAGUACACAAACGGAGUGAGCCAUUGCCAUAGAAUAUUCUCUUGACAGGACCCUAGCUCAUAAACAUUUCUUCAGAACUAUACUUCAAAUGGGAUGCUUUGUAUUAAAACUUUAAUAAAUUUAAUUUAUUUUUUCUUUUGAAUAUAAAUAACUGAGCUUAAACAUUAUCAUCAUAUCGAUUUCUUAUGCUGCCUAAACCUCUUAAUUUUUUAAGUCAAAAUAUAUCUUUUUUUUUUUUUUUGGAGGCGGAGUUUCAUUCUUGUUGCCCAGGCUGGAGUGCAAUGGCGUGAUCUCAGCUCACCGCAACCUCUGCCUCCCAGGUUCAAGCAAUUCUCCUGCCUCAGACUCCCGAGUAGCUGGGACUACGGGCAUGUGCCACUACGCCCGACUAAUUUUGUAUUUUUAGUAGAGACAGGGUUUCUCCAUGUUGGUCAGGUUGGUCUCGAACUGUCAUCUUCAGGUGAUCUGCCCACCUCAGCCUCCCAAAGUGCUGGGAUUACUGAGCCACUGCGCCCAGCCCGAAAUGUAUCUUAUACAAACAUUGUAGAAAUGAAUAAUGAUUACUCAAAUUAAGAUAUUUU
RNAcentral lists this small RNA (986 nucleotides) under Pongo abelii (Sumatran orangutan). Its description in RNAcentral is "processed transcript". The record is from RNAcentral. Lineage: Eukaryota; Metazoa; Chordata; Mammalia; Primates; Hominidae.